Molecule: ribosomal RNA, 253 nt
Filed under: uncultured bacterium
Lineage: Bacteria
Description: partial 16S ribosomal RNA
Rfam family: Bacterial small subunit ribosomal RNA
Source: RNAcentral
UACGAAGGGGGCUAGCGUUGCUCGGAAUCACUGGGCGUAAAGGGUGCGUAGGCGGGUCUUUAAGUCAGGGGUGAAAUCCUGGAGCUCAACUCCAGAACUGCCUUUGAUACUGAAGAUCUUGAGUUCGGGAGAGGUGAGUGGAACUCCGAGUGUAGAGGUGAAAUUCGUAGAUAUUCGGAAGAACACCAGUGGCGAAGGCGGCUCACUGGCCCGGUACUGACGCUGAUGUGCGAAAGCGUGGGGAGCAAACAGG